RNAcentral lists this ribosomal RNA (491 nucleotides) under uncultured bacterium. RNAcentral's name for it is "partial 16S ribosomal RNA". It matches the Rfam family "Bacterial small subunit ribosomal RNA", at positions 29 to 506 of the family's 1533-position model. The record is from RNAcentral.
AGUGAACGCUGGCGGUAGACCUAACACAUGCAAGUCGAACGGCAGCACAGUAAGAGCUUGCUCUUACGGGUGGCGAGUGGCGGACGGGUGAGGAAUACAUCGGAAUCUACUUUUUCGUGGGGGAUAACGUAGGGAAACUUACGCUAAUACCGCAUACGACCUACGGGUGAAAGCAGGGGAUCUUCGGACCUUGCGCGAUUGAAUGAGCCGAUGUCGGAUUAGCUAGUUGGCGGGGUAAAGGCCCACCAAGGCGACGAUCCGUAGCUGGUCUGAGAGGAUGAUCAGCCACACUGGAACUGAGACACGGUCCAGACUCCUACGGGAGGCAGCAGUGGGGAAUAUUGGACAAUGGGCGCAAGCCUGAUCCAGCCAUCCCGCGUGGGUGAAGAAGGUCUUCGGGUUGUAAAGCCCUUUUGUUGGGAAAGAAAAGCAGCAGGUUAAUACCCCGCUGUUCUGACGGUACCCAAAGAAUAAGCACCGGCUAACUUCGU